Gossypium raimondii (Peruvian cotton) is the source of this 108-nucleotide small nucleolar RNA. It matches the Rfam family "Plant small nucleolar RNA R71". From Rfam's summary of the family: R71 is a member of the C/D box family of snoRNAs containing the C (UGAUGA) and D (CUGA) box motifs. Multiple nearly identical copies of this snoRNA have been identified in Arabidopsis, and it is thought to function as a 2'-O-ribose methylation guide for 18S ribosomal RNA. NCBI's taxonomy places the organism in Eukaryota, Viridiplantae, Streptophyta, Magnoliopsida, Malvales, Malvaceae. The record is from Rfam.
AUCCCAUGAUGAGGACACUUACGAAGUAAUUCCUUGAAUCUUUCCCAUGCCUCGUAUAAAGACUCAUCAUCCAAUUUUUGGAAAGUAGUUAUCUUAUUACACAACGUU